RNAcentral lists this ribosomal RNA (253 nucleotides) under uncultured bacterium. RNAcentral's name for it is "partial 16S ribosomal RNA". It matches the Rfam family "Bacterial small subunit ribosomal RNA", at positions 524 to 776 of the family's 1533-position model. The record is from RNAcentral.
UACAGAGGUCUCAAGCGUCGUUCGGAUUCAUUGGGCGUAAAGGGUGCGUAGGUGGCGCCGUAAGUCAGGUGUGAAAUUUCGGAGCUUAACUCCGAAACUGCAUUUGAUACUGCGGUGCUUGAGGACUGGAGAGGAGACUGGAAUUUACGGUGUAGCAGUGAAAUGCGUAGAGAUCGUAAGGAAGACCAGUGGCGAAGGCGGGUCUCUGGACAGUUCCUGACACUGAGGCACGAAGGCCAGGGGAGCAAACGGG